GAUGAACGCUGGCGGCAUGCUCAACACAUGCAAGUCGGACGGGAAACACGGGCAACGGUGUUUCCAGUGGCGGACGGGUGAGUAACGCGCAAGAACCUGCCCUUGGGAGGGGAACAAAAGAAGGAAACGGCUGCUAAUAAACUGUAGGCUGCGGAGCAAAAGGAGGAAACCGCCCGAGGCGGGGCUCGCGUCUGAUUAGCUAGUUGGUGAGGCAAUAGCCUACCAAGGCGAUGAUCAGUAGCUGGUCCGAGAGGACGAUCAGCCACACGGGGACAGAGACACAGCCCAGACUCCAACGUCAGCCGGCAGAAGUGAAUUUGCCUCAAUGGGCGAAAGCGUGACGGGGCAAUGCCACGUGGAGGUAGAAGGCCCGCGAGUCGGGAACUUCUUUUCCCGAGGAAGAAGCAAUGACGGUAUCUGGGGGAUGAGCAACGGCUAGCUCUGUG
RNAcentral lists this ribosomal RNA (446 nucleotides) under uncultured bacterium. RNAcentral's name for it is "partial 16S ribosomal RNA". It matches the Rfam family "Bacterial small subunit ribosomal RNA", at positions 28 to 507 of the family's 1533-position model. The record is from RNAcentral.